CAUAUGGAGAGUUUGAUCCUGGCUCAGGACGAACGCUGGCGGCGUGCCUUACACAUGCAAGUCGUGCGAGAACGGUUCCUUCGGGAACCUAGUAGAGCGGCGAACGGGUGAGUAAUACGUGAGCGAUCUGCCCGAGGGUGGGGGAUACCCCAGGGAAACCUGGACCAAUACCGCGUACAGCGUCGGGAGUGGAUGCCCGACGUGAAAGCCGGCCUCUUCUAUGCUGGCGCCUUCGGAUGAGCUCGCGGCCUAUCAGCUUGUUGGUGGGGUAACGGCCUACCAAGGCUAUGACGGGUAGCUGACGUGAGAGCGUGAUCAGCCACAUUGGGACUGAGACACGGCCCAGACUCCUACGGGAGGCAGCAGUGGGGAAUAUUGCGCAAUGGGCGAAAGCCUGACGCAGCGACGCCGCGUGGGGGAGGAAGGCCCUAGGGUUGUAAACCCCUGUCAGGUGGGACGAACACCUUGUCGGAUAAUACCCGGCAGGACUGACGGUACCACCAGAGGAAGCUCCGGCUAACUCCGUGCCAGCAGCCGCGGUAAU
RNAcentral lists this ribosomal RNA (544 nucleotides) under Gemmatimonadota bacterium. Its description in RNAcentral is "bacterial SSU rRNA". It matches the Rfam family "Bacterial small subunit ribosomal RNA", at positions 1 to 524 of the family's 1533-position model. The record is from RNAcentral. Lineage: Bacteria; Pseudomonadati; Gemmatimonadota. RNAcentral also lists the same sequence under 1 other name.